RNAcentral lists this ribosomal RNA (495 nucleotides) under uncultured bacterium. RNAcentral describes it as "partial 16S ribosomal RNA". It matches the Rfam family "Bacterial small subunit ribosomal RNA", at positions 28 to 523 of the family's 1533-position model. The record is from RNAcentral.
GAUGAACGCUAGCGGGAGGCCUAACACAUGCAAGCCGAGCGGUAUUGUUUCUUCGGAAAUGAGAGAGCGGCGUACGGGUGCGUAACACGUGUGCAACCUGCCUUUAUCUGGGGGAUAGCCUUUCGAAAGGAAGAUUAAUACCCCAUAAUAUAUUGAACGGCAUCGUUUAAUACUGAAAGCUUCGGCGGAUAGAGAUGGGCAUGCGCAAGAUUAGCUAGUUGGUGAGGCAACGGCUCACCAAGGCGAUGAUCUUUAGGGGGCCUGAGAGGGUGAUCCCCCACACUGGUACUGAGACACGGACCAGACUCCUACGGGAGGCAGCAGUGAGGAAUAUUGGUCAAUGGGUGCAAGCCUGAACCAGCCAUCCCGCGUGAAGGACGACUGCCCUAUGGGUUGUAAACUUCUUUUGUAUAGGGAUAAACCUACCCUCGUGAGGGGAGCUGAAGGUACUAUACGAAUAAGCACCGGCUAACUCCGUGCCAGCCGCCGCCGUAA